AGAUUCAUUGAGUCAACUUAACGAAUCGCAUGGCCUUGCGCCGGCGAUGGUAUCAUUCAAAUUUUCUGCCCUAUCAACGGGUUUCGAUGGUAGGAUAGUGCCCCCGCCUACCAUGGUAUCAACGGGUAACGGGGAAUUAGGGUUCUAUUCCGGAGAGGGAGCCUGAGAAACGGCUACCACAUCCAAGGAAGGCAGCAGGCGCGCAAAUUACCCAAUCCCGACACGGGGAGGUAGUGACAAUAAAUACUGAUACAGGGCUCUUUUGGGUCUUGUAAUUGGAAUGAGUACAAUUUAAAUACCUUAACGAGGAACAAUUGGAGGGCAAGUCUGGUGCCAGCAGCCGCGGUAAUUCCAGCUCCAAUAGCGUAUAUUAAAGUUGUUGCAGUUAAAAAGCUCGUAGUUGAACCUUGGGCCUGGCUGGCCGGUCCGCCUCACCGCGUGUACUGGUCCGGCCGGGCCUUUCCUUCUGGGGAUCCGCAUGCCCUUCGCUGGGUGUGCCGGGGAACCAGGACUUUUACUUUGAAAAAAUUAGAGUGUUCAAAGCAGGCCUUUGCUCGAAUACAUUAGCAUGGAAUAAUAGAAUAGGACGUGCGGUCCUAUUUUGUUGGUUUCUAGGACCGCCGUAAUGAUUAAUAGGGAUAGUCGGGGGCAUCAGUAUUCAAUUGUCAGAGGUGAAAUUCUUGGAUUUAUUGAAGACUAACUACUGCGAAAGCAUUUGCCAAGGAUGUUUUCAUUAAUCAGUGAACGAAAGUUAGGGGAUCGAAGACGAUCAGAUACCGUCGUAGUCUUAACCGUAAACUAUGCC
RNAcentral lists this ribosomal RNA (805 nucleotides) under Holmiella sp. Its description in RNAcentral is "SSU rRNA". It matches the Rfam family "Eukaryotic small subunit ribosomal RNA", at positions 244 to 1043 of the family's 1831-position model. Lineage: Eukaryota; Fungi; Ascomycota; Dothideomycetes. The record is from RNAcentral.